AGGUCAGUCGUUUGGAAGAGAUCGACAUCCGCGACACCGUACUUGAUGCACGCCUUCUGGAACCUGCAACGUGUGGAGCGGGAAGGGUAAGGGUACUAGAGUAAUCGAUAACCGUUGGAACAGGAGUGCAUAGCCGGUGAAAGAGGUGGAUCUGAGUGAGGCUGGCGCCCGUACCGACCGCCGCUGCCUACGGUACGGUCUGUUCUCCCAGUGUACCCGUUCACUAUUCGCGACAAAGCGCGAUUUGGGAAGCGGAAGAAGAUGAACAAUAAUAAUAAUGAAUAAAUAAGCUGAUCAUCGAAGCA
Molecule: long non-coding RNA, 305 nt
Organism: Anopheles aquasalis
Lineage: Eukaryota; Metazoa; Arthropoda; Insecta; Diptera; Culicidae
Source: RefSeq, a predicted model, not a curated record